Molecule: transfer RNA, 72 nt
Filed under: Ictidomys tridecemlineatus (thirteen-lined ground squirrel)
Lineage: Eukaryota; Metazoa; Chordata; Mammalia; Rodentia; Sciuridae
Description: Spermophilus tridecemlineatus (thirteen-lined ground squirrel) tRNA
Rfam family: tRNA
About the family: Transfer RNA (tRNA) molecules are approximately 80 nucleotides in length.
Source: Rfam by way of RNAcentral
GGAGGACUGGUUCAUUGGUAGAAUACUUGUCUACAACAUAUGACACCCUGGGUUCAAUCCCUAGUACCUCUC